This is a long non-coding RNA of Oreochromis niloticus (Nile tilapia), 226 nucleotides long. RefSeq lists it as uncharacterized. NCBI's taxonomy places the organism in Eukaryota, Metazoa, Chordata, Actinopteri, Cichliformes, Cichlidae. The transcript is spliced from 4 exons. The record is from RefSeq and is a predicted model, not a curated record.
UGGAAAAUAGGAUGGACGAGCUGGCACGUAUGCUGAAUGUGGCCAUUAGAAAUGAUAGCCUGCAACAUCUGGAGAAUAUAUCAAGGGAGCUGGAUCGCAUGCAAAAAACGUUCAUAGCUCAGACUGACAAACUGUCGAGGCUGGAGAAUAGGAUGGACGAGCUGACACGUACACUGAAUGUGGCCAUUAAAAAUGAUAGUCUGCAACAUCUGGAGAAUAUAUCAAG